Molecule: ribosomal RNA, 495 nt
Filed under: uncultured bacterium
Lineage: Bacteria
Description: bacterial SSU rRNA
Rfam family: Bacterial small subunit ribosomal RNA
Source: RNAcentral
GGGGGAAACCCUGAUGCAGCAACGCCGCGUGAAGGAUGAAGGUUUUCGGAUUGUAAACUUCUUUAGUCGGGGACGAAGAAAUGACGGUACCCGAAGAAUAAGCCACGGCUAACUACGUGCCAGCAGCCGCGGUAAUACGUAGGUGGCGAGCGUUGUCCGGAAUUACUGGGUGUAAAGGGCGUGUAGGCGGGUUAUCAAGUCAGAUGUGAAAUUCCAGGGCUCAACCCUGGAGCUGCAUCUGAAACUGAUGAUCUUGAGUGCUGGAGAGGAAAGCGGAAUUCCUAGUGUAGCGGUGAAAUGCGUAGAUAUUAGGAGGAACACCAGUGGCGAAGGCGGCUUUCUGGACAGUAACUGACGCUGAGGCGCGAAAGCGUGGGGAGCAAACAGGAUUAGAUACCCUGGUAGUCCACGCUGUAAACGAUGGAUACUAGGUGUAGGAGGUAUCGACCCCUUCUGUGCCGCAGUUAACACAAUAAGUAUCCCACCUGGGGAGUA